UCAUGAGCAAGUUGGGGAUGAUCAUUAUCUAUCGUGAAGAGAUCCAAAGCUUAGCUAACAUAUUUAUGCAAUUAGAAAUGAAGAAGGUAGUAAGGAAGUGAGCACCACACAGGCCAGUAGCCUCCAGGAUCAUAACCUUUAUACUUAUAUCUGCAGAGAAUACUUUGAAUGAUAAUGGAACACAUGGCAUACUGUGAGAGAUGAGUUUCACUUUUUCUUUUCCCACUUCCUCAUGCCCUGUAAGUGAAGUGACUACAAGUAUCUGCCUAAAAUAAAUAUCACCAACUAUGUUAAGUACAA
Long non-coding RNA from Suricata suricatta (meerkat), 300 nucleotides. RefSeq lists it as uncharacterized. Lineage: Eukaryota; Metazoa; Chordata; Mammalia; Carnivora; Herpestidae. The transcript has 2 exons. The record is from RefSeq and is a predicted model, not a curated record.